AGAUAUUUCUACUACGCCGUCUGAUGCAAGGGGACGAACUGCAUCCCAAAACUAUCCUUGCUAAUAAUUAUCGCCCUCCUCAGCCUCUCUACAACCGUUCCGUCCGAACAAAUGUGUUUAACCAUGACAUCGGGGACAACAAGUGUUUUGAUUCAAGGAAAUUGUUUUAUAGAGGUAACGUUGGCAUGGUGAACUGGAUCGAAUGAAGAUAACCGGCUCUAAAUUGCGCAAAUUUACAAGAAAUUACAGAAAUUAUUGACGGAUUAUUAGAUGUACAUUACCUGCAUAUCAGUGUAUCCUAUAAAGAGUUUAUGUGCAUGAGCCACCAAAGAAUUCAAAACAUAAGUUUUUCUUGCAACAGAGCGACCACUUUUUAUCUGUCUCAUUAAAGUUCUUCUAGUAUUUAUAUGAAGAAAAGCAUUUUUCAGUAAGACUAUAAGAUUUUGAUUAUGAAGGCAGGUUCCUCAUAUAAAAUAAUUCAUGAGAUUUAUUAGAAUCGGAAACAAUUACCGAAUUAAAAAAGAACUUCGGGACAGUUAUAUGUUAUUUAUAGACUUAUCUCAGCAAAUUUUGUAUAAUUCAUAAUCUUGAUUAGUUUUAUAACUCUUUCGACUGAAUGCCAAUACACAAAGUACAUCCGCUAAGUAGCAUACAAUUGGUAAAUGACAUCUUUUAUGAAAGUUUUGAGGUAUUACUUUGCAUUUCUAAACUCAAACUUUCAGAAUAUCGUAAGAAAAUCUAAGAAAGUUAUUGAUGUUUCUAUUUCGGAUACGUGAGUGGGCUUUUGAAUGCAUCAAUCAUCAUAGCAAAUAUAUUUGUAGGUGUAACAAAAAUAUUUAUAGAUGUUAUGUCGUUAAGAAAUCUCCAAAUCCGAUGUCUACAUUGCAAUUCUUAUCCGUUUUCGACUGAGGCACAAAUGUGAGUUGAUGUUAAAUUUCAUGGUAUAAAUAUUUAUUGUGAGAAAGACAUAAGAAGUGUUUGCUUCUGUCUGAUAUGAAAUGAACAGAGAGGAGAGGAAAAAAUUAUACUGAUACUCUUAUAAAGUAUAGUAAUUAUGAAUCUAAAGGAUUUAUCUUCAAGAUUAUAUAAUAUUGAAUACCUUUAAAGGCACAGUUUUAAAAAGCAUUAAAGUAAAAUUUGUGAUAAAUAAUGUGAAUAGGAAGUUACGCAAAAAAUGUAUUAAAAACAGUUUUGCCAUGUUUCUACUGCAAAACGCACAUGUUUUUAAUCAUUAUCUUGGACUUACCUCUGCGCAUUUCAUAUCAAAAAGUUAAAUAUUUUAAUGCACAUAUAUCUCAUAUACAAGACAAAAAGUACCAUGAGUUACUUUUCUAAUGAUGGAAGUAUUAGCUGAAAGCAUUUCUAUUACCAUAUCUUGAUAUGAGAGAUUAUCACAUAUCGUUGUGCAAAAAAGUAUUGUGGUGUGUUCGACUGUUCGUUUGUACUAUUUCCAGUAGUUAAAAUUGUGAGAAUGUUUGAAGAUUUUUCGUUUCGUUUUUGGAAAUGCUAACUGUAUUUAUAACAUUAUAUUUAGGUAUCCGAUUGAAAAAACAAUGUAUUACCAUGAGUACGUGACUGAUGUUUUCUGAAAGGAAUUAUUUUAAGCAAAAUCAUAAAUAUUCAACUAAUUUAUCAACCUGGUACAUGCAUGAAAUUACAUAAUAAACACUACAAAACAUACAAAUAAUGAAUAUACAGCCAAAUCCACUUAAGAAGUUUCCGUUUUUAAAGUAAGUAUAAAUUAAAGUUUGUAAAACAGCUUCUCAAGCAACUGCACUCUUUCUAAUGGAAGAGACUUUAUGAUUCAGAAUUGAAAUUUUUCAUUUUUUGGUUAUUAUGUUUUAAGUUAAGAACUUUUAGUAGCUUAAAAAAUAACGAUGUUCAAAUUUCAGGUGUGAAAACUACAUGCCUACUAUAACAGAAUAGAUGAAAUUACUUAAGUAUCUUUUCUUCACCGAAAACUUUACACUGAAUUUCAAAUUACAAACUAAUUCCGAUUUUAAAUUUCAGCAUGAGUGAGCCAAUUUUGAAACACUGUCUCAAAAUUUAAAAACUAUAGAAGAAAAACAUGUCUUUCAACUUCGCUCGGUGUCAGUUUGAGAGACUUUUUCCACUUAUUUAGUUUCCACACUCUUUUUCAAAUAAACAUGAACAUGAAUAUUCAAAGUUUUCUUCAUCUGCGUUCACUCUGAAAUUCAAAAUGAAAUUUUAAUUUUACGAAAUCAACUUCCACCAUAUGCACUGACACUCCUUCAAUUUAGAUUUCAAAUUCGCUUUUGAAAUUUGCAUGUUUUAGCAAAUUCUUAUUCCUGUUUUAGAGUUAUUUAUCUCAUGAAAGAUACUACAAUCAAUUAAGAACUGGUGUCUGUUUUAAUUUUCGAUUAUACUUUUCAACUUUUGCAAAACAUUUCCGACAAAAUGCUUUUAAAACAUUCAUUUUAUCCAACAUGUUUUAAAAUUUCUAAAAUAUUUUGCAUAGCUUCCAGGCUUAUUUAUUUCUUCUCCCAUUAAAUGCAGCAUUUUAAUAUUUUUGCAAGAAAUUAUUCUUAUUUUUUCAUCUAUAAUUAGAUAGAGCUAUUUAAAUUCUUUCUUAUUAACGACGAUUAGUGUAAUUAUUGUUCUUUGCGUCUGACACAACCAGUUUUCUCUUUGCGAAAAUGUCUUGCUUGAAUUUUACAGUAAUAACGCCACAAGCAUUUCAUUGCAUUUUGUGAGAUUUUAACCUGUGUAAAAAUAUACUUUUCUAAGAAUAAUAUCAAUCUAAUUUUCCUGUCUUAUAAUAAUAAACAUUUCCUACAGCAUAUAUUUAAUUCUGGUGAUAUUAAGGUUCUGUCAGUGAGGUUUUUAACAAACGUGCAAUAUUUGUCUUAUUAUUACAUUUGAAAGCUAGGCGUGCCGUUUUAGGAGGCUUUUAUCACUUUAUAAGAUUUCAUGUAAAUCUUGCAAUUAGCAACAAGAAGUUAUAUUGUGAGAAAUACCUAAUCACAAAAUUCUUCAGAAUAACUUCUAAAAUGAAAACAUAGCUAAGUUCAUAAAAAAAGGAUAAAUUAACUUUUCUUAAUUUUUAAUAUAAGGCCUUAACAAGGUUUGACAAUAAAACAUAAAUGAAUCAUAUUUAUAUAAACACCCCUAAUUAAGGUGUAAAAAUUGAAAUGGGAAACUUUGCAUCAAAUUGUAACAAAGAAAUUUUUAAUAAUUAAAAUAUGUGUAAGAAUUAUUAAUCUGACUCAAAUCACAUAAUAAUUUGUGAUAUAAUAGUGCUAAAGCUUUUAAAAUUUUGUAUUAUUUGUAAUUUUAAAAUUUGUAAUGUAUUGAUUUAGUAAUAGUAAUGACUGAAAAGUAAAAAAAAAAUGUUAAAUAGAUAGAAAUGAUUUUGCAAAAGGCAUAUUAAAUCUGUUAUAUACCUUCCACUUAUUUUCAAACGGAAGAACGAAUAAAUUAUUUAGUUAAUUUUUAAAUGCAGUAUUUAUUGAUAAUUGCGUUUAAAUUAAGAUAAUAUUGUUUAAUUAAUGUACAUUCCAGUUAUUUUACGUUAAUGUUGUACUCUCUAAUGCUUUCUACAUUAUUUUGUUUAAAUUCGCGCAAUUUAUUAAAUAGUUUUAGAAUAUUUUAAUAGUUCUCAUCUGAACAGAUUUACAAGUCAAUUAAAAACUGAGCAUCUUGUAAACUGAAUGUACGAAUGCGAAAUAUAUGAAAUAUAUCAACAGCAUAUCAAUAAUAUUUUUGACAUUAAAAUGAGUGAGCAAAUAAAAUGAGGAGCUUCUAAAUGAAUUGUCAUAGGAUUCUGAGACAGAAGAAAGGAACCAAUAAUUUAUUAUUUUUCAAGUUGAACGGAAAUUUAAAAAGUGCAGCCAUUUCAGUCCAUAAAAUUUUCAAAGAGGGGAUGGAUUUUUAAUGGAGGCAUUAGCAAAAGAAGCGAAAAUUUUACCCUCUUUGUAAUGUUUCAAUCCAUUAUCAGUAUCUUCAAUUGCAUCCAUGUUUCAAUGAACCGCAGUACUUACAAAGUGCUUCUGUUUAAAAUGAAAGAUAUAUCUUUGGCUAUCCAGUAAAAUAAAACUUUUUCUCUUGUUCUUAUCGAGUAUAUACCUGCACAAAAGCAAGAAGAGGAAAGAAAGAAUAAUCAGUGGUUUCCUGCUUCGCAACCUAUUAAAGGAGAAAUGCAUUCUGAUCUGCGAAUUCUUUUCAGUGGGAAACGUCUCUAAUUUUCUAGCGUUCAUUAAUUUAAAAUCAGCACAAUUAAUUAUUGUUUCAGUGCCCUGACAGUUUGGUGAUACAGUGUGUUACAUCAAACUAACGGUCAGGGUAUCUACUGAUUUAUUUUAUAUAAAGAUAAAGUAUAAUGUCUCCUGAUUUGUUUACGUUAAAACCUGUAUUCGUCACAUCAUGGAAAUUAACAACAUUGUUAUUUAUUUAAUGUUCUAAAGAUAGGCAAGAAUAAUAUAUUCUUCAAUACUCACAAUUGAAGAAUACUAUUGCCAAAUCACAAUUUUGAGCUCUUGUACAUGUAUGCUUUGUAUCACAUGUUAGUGUAUUGAGUAAUAAAGUACCGUGUGCAGUAUA
Stegodyphus dumicola is the source of this 4560-nucleotide long non-coding RNA. The record is from RefSeq and is a predicted model, not a curated record. Lineage: Eukaryota; Metazoa; Arthropoda; Arachnida; Araneae; Eresidae.